This 485-nucleotide ribosomal RNA is filed under the name uncultured bacterium. Its description in RNAcentral is "partial 16S ribosomal RNA". It matches the Rfam family "Bacterial small subunit ribosomal RNA", at positions 28 to 507 of the family's 1533-position model. The record is from RNAcentral.
GAUGAACGCUAGCGGCAGGCCUAACACAUGCAAGUCGAGGGAGAGGUUACCUUCGGGUAACCACAACCGGCGCACGGGUGCGUAAUGCGUAUACAAUCUGCCUUUCACAUAGGGAUAGCCCGCAGAAAUUUGGCUUAAUACCUAAUGGUAUAUAAGAGCGGCAUCGUUUUUAUAUUAAAGCUACGGUGGUGAAAGAUGAGUAGGCGUUCUAUUAGCUAGUUGGUGGGGUAACGGCUCCCCAAGACGACGUUCGGUAGGGGUUCUGAGAGGACAGUCCCCAACACUGGGACUGAGAUACGGCACAGACUCCUACGGGAGGCAGCAGUGGGGAAUUGUGGACAAUGGGCGGAAGGAUGAUCCAGUAAUGCCGCGUGCAGGAAGAAGGCCUUCGGGUUGUAAACUGAUUUUGUACGGAACGAAACGGCUCUGGGUAAUACCCGGGGCUAAUGACGGUACCGUAAGAAUAAGCACCGGCUAACUACGUG